CAAAAUCAGGAAUCCAGUGACGGAACACAAGUGCCAGAUGGAGAUGGUCUCAGCGAUACACACAUCCACAAAGAUGGCAACGACGAGGAGAGGGACCAUGCUGAGAAAAGAGAUGACACUGAAGAGGAGGCACUCCAGAACAAGGGUGCAGACUCAAGUGCCCCCCCAGCAUGCACCCAACCCCCAGAGUUCUGUACUUGGGGCCACAUCUGA
This is a long non-coding RNA of Panicum virgatum (switchgrass), 213 nucleotides long. RefSeq lists it as uncharacterized. The record is from RefSeq and is a predicted model, not a curated record. Lineage: Eukaryota; Viridiplantae; Streptophyta; Magnoliopsida; Poales; Poaceae. The transcript has 2 exons.